GUUGGCUUUUGUCGUUUUUGAAUGCAGCAGCGGGGUGUCGUUCCCCUUUCUCAUUUCGAUAAGGCAGAGGAAGAGAGCUCCAGUGGCGAAGGAGGCGGAGGCGAUUGCUUCUGUUCAUGGCGAUUCCGAGCUCAUCCACCGCAGGAUUUGAUUUCUUCUCCUUCUUCUCUUGGUCUACCGGCUGCCCUGGUACUAUCUCAAUGAGUAGACUGCGGAAAGUCUGUCGCAAGGAUGUUCCCCUACUUUCUUCACUCGAGAGCGUUGAUUCUUUGAAAGACCCUUAUGUGCCUAAUGAUUUUGCUGAUGAUGGUUCUAAUGGGUUGUUCUGGUGAUGAUGAAGAGUUUGAUAAAGCACUUUACAAUUUCUAUGUGAAUAAUAAAGUCAAGUACCUAAAGAGAAAAUUAUCAUCUGCUGGCAGAAGGAAUGUUGUAAGUCUUUUUUCUCUUCCUUGGGUCAUUUGUAUGGUACCUACACUGUAAAUUUACCCUAUAUGAACUGUAAUCUGAAUGCCCCUAUUACUGAGUGAUACUUAGUGUGAAAUUUGUAUGGUAGUUACACUGUAAUCAUAUAGUCAUUGUGUAAUUUUGUAUGGUAAUUACACUGUAAUCCUACUCCUUUCUUACAGUGUAAAUUUACCCAUAUCUAUACUGUAAUUUGAAUGCCCUUUUUUAAGUGUAAAUUUGCCCAUAGUUACACAGUAAUUUGACUGAUAAUUACUGUGUAAUUUCGUAUGGUAGUUACACUGUAAUCCUGCACCUUUUUUACCUGCACUGUAAUCCGAUGCCUUUUUUUACUCAGUAAUUUGACUGAUAAUUACUGUGUAAUUUGUAUGCUAGUUACACUGUAACCCUACACCUUUUUUUACAGUGUAAUUUUACCCAUAUCUAUACUGUAAUCCAAUGCCCUUUUUUACAUAGUAAGUUAACUGAUAAUUACUGUGUAUUUUGUAUGGUAGUUACAAUGUAAUUACACAGUAGUUACAAUGUAAUUCCCCCGGUGUAAUUUUACCCAUGUUUGUAUUGUAUAAUUUGAAUGAUAAUUUUAUGUGUAAUUUGUAUGGUAGUUUCACUGUAGUCCUAUUUUUUCAUUUUCUGCAGUGUAAUUUUCCCCAUAAUGUAUACUAUAAUCUGUUCCUAUUUAAACUGUAAUUUUACUCUUAAUUACUAUGUAAUUUG
Molecule: long non-coding RNA, 1176 nt
Organism: Triticum aestivum (bread wheat)
Lineage: Eukaryota; Viridiplantae; Streptophyta; Magnoliopsida; Poales; Poaceae
Exons: 4
Source: RefSeq, a predicted model, not a curated record